This 253-nucleotide ribosomal RNA is filed under the name uncultured bacterium. RNAcentral describes it as "partial 16S ribosomal RNA". It matches the Rfam family "Bacterial small subunit ribosomal RNA", at positions 524 to 776 of the family's 1533-position model. The record is from RNAcentral.
UACAGAGGUCUCAAGCGUUGUUCGGAUUCAUUGGGCGUAAAGGGCGCGUAGGCGGCGGGGUAAGUCGGGUGUGAAGUCUCAGAGCUCAACUCUGAAACUGCACUCGAUACUGCUCUGCUUGAGGACUGGAGAGGAGACUGGAAUUCACGGUGUAGCAGUGAAAUGCGUAGAUAUCGUGAGGAAGACCAGUGGCGAAGGCGGGUCUCUGGGACGGUACUGACGCUGAGACGCGAAAGCGUGGGGAGCGAACAGG